CUUACGGGUAGAUCUCCCACCCUUGAAUACCAUACCUUUGUUGCUUUGGCGGGCCGCUUCGGCUACUGGCUCUGGCUAGUGAGUGCCCGCCAAAGGAUCCCAAAACUCUGAAUAUUUGUGUCGUCUGAGUACUAUGUAAUAGUUAAAACUUUCAACAACGGAUCUCUUGGUUCUGGCAUCGAUGAAGAACGCAGCGAAAUGCGAUAAGUAAUGUGAAUUGCAGAAUUCAGUGAAUCAUCGAAUCUUUGAACGCACAUUGCGCCCCUUGGUAUUCCGAGGGGCAUGCCCGUUCGAGCGUCAUUAUAACCCCUCAAGCUCAGCUUGGUGUUGGGGCCUGCUGUUACCGGCAGCCCUUAAAAUCAGUGGCGGUGCCAUCUGGCUCUAAGCGUAGUAAUACUUCUCGCUACAGGGUCCUGGUGGAUGCUUGCCAUCAACCCCCUAAAUUUCUA
Molecule: ribosomal RNA, 449 nt
Filed under: ascomycete sp. olrim330
Lineage: Eukaryota; Fungi; Ascomycota
Description: eukaryotic LSU rRNA
Rfam family: 5.8S ribosomal RNA (bases 147-300)
Source: RNAcentral